RNAcentral lists this long non-coding RNA (1198 nucleotides) under Erythranthe guttata (spotted monkey flower). RNAcentral describes it as "long non-coding RNA (EGUT_LNC002811)". Lineage: Eukaryota; Viridiplantae; Streptophyta; Magnoliopsida; Lamiales; Phrymaceae. The record is from RNAcentral.
UCCUUAAAUUAAAAUACAUACUGUGAUAAGCAAGAAAACCUCAAAUUCCGUCCAAACUCCUUCAAUUUUGUCGAUAUACUAUCACAUUUUUUGGAAGAAAGAAGACAACUGCGUGCCUGGAGACAAAAUUCUACGUCAUAACCAGACAAAUAAAAAGACAAAGAACCUGAAAAAAAACCCAAUAAAUUUGAAUUUUGAACAUAAAAUGCGACUAUCACUAACCUCUUGAGAAGCAUUUUGGAUGCAUCAAAACUACAGUUUCAAACAUUCCCACGCCCAAAAAUUGUUUAGUAAUUAUUCAGUUGCAGCUUUAAUAUUGUGGGCAUCAGUAAUUUUUGAAAGAUUCAUGUGUUCGUUCCUUUUUAGCAAACGAAAAACAAAAUUAUAUUUCGGGUUGGUUUACACAUGUGAAAUAAAAUUGGAAUUGGGAAGUUACGGAUCGUGAAAACAACUGAUGUACAAAAAAAAAAAAAAAACUUGUUGUGAGAGGUUACGAAUCGUGAGUUGCAGUUAAUUCAGGGGAUGCCAACGUUGAUUUUUUUUUUCUUCUAAAAGUAGUCCCAAGACUUUCAAACAAUUACGAAAAAGCAAACGAAAAAACAUCUUCACUUUUUGACGGGCCUUGUUCUUGAAUCAUAAAACCAUAAAAAAUGAAAAAAUAAAAAUAAACCAACAACACGUAAACUAAAUCCCUGCAUAUCAAAAUUUCUCAUGUAUUUCUUUUACUCGGCUAUGCUUCAGAAAAGAGAAAAUUAUCCGGUUUGUUUAGGCAAAUCAGGAAUAUAUGGAUGGGGGCUCUUUGCUAGGCAAAACAUUGAAGAAGUAGAUAUGCUAAUAAUUCACGUGUCCCAAUUAUUGUUGUUAAUAAUUUAAAAUAAAUGGGUCCAAUCUAAUUCCAACGUUUUUGCUUAAAUUUGGUCCUUUUGCAGAUUAUAGAAAAAUUUGGAGAAGAAAAAUUUCUUACUUGAAAUUUCAACCACCGUUGGCAGUGGCGUUCGCUGGCAGCAAAUGGUCCUUCACUCCGACUGUCGGAUGAUUUUUGUUGAACUUUUGACCGGCGGAUUUUAGAGCUUCAAUUUUCUGGAAAGUAAUAAUUGUUGAAAGAUUUGUGUGAGAAUUUGUGUUAUAUACAGAUGAGACAUGAAAUUUGAGAUGAGAAGAUCUAAAACAAAUGAAGAAAACUGAUUUCAAUCGGCGG